This 660-nucleotide ribosomal RNA is filed under the name Lacticaseibacillus rhamnosus. Its description in RNAcentral is "bacterial SSU rRNA". It matches the Rfam family "Bacterial small subunit ribosomal RNA", at positions 99 to 745 of the family's 1533-position model. The record is from RNAcentral. Lineage: Bacteria; Bacillati; Bacillota; Bacilli; Lactobacillales; Lactobacillaceae.
GAGUAGGGUAAGGCAGUAGGGUUACCUCGCCCCUUUAGUGGGGGAUAACAUUUGGAAACAGAUGCUAAUACCGCAUAAAUCCAAGAACCGCAUGGUUCUUGGCUGAAAGAUGGCGUAAGCUAUCGCUUUUGGAUGGACCCGCGGCGUAUUAGCUAGUUGGUGAGGUAACGGCUCACCAAGGCAAUGAUACGUAGCCGAACUGAGAGGUUGAUCGGCCACAUUGGGACUGAGACACGGCCCAAACUCCUACGGGAGGCAGCAGUAGGGAAUCUUCCACAAUGGACGCAAGUCUGAUGGAGCAACGCCGCGUGAGUGAAGAAGGCUUUCGGGUCGUAAAACUCUGUUGUUGGAGAAGAAUGGUCGGCAGAGUAACUGUUGUCGGCGUGACGGUAUCCAACCAGAAAGCCACGGCUAACUACGUGCCAGCAGCCGCGGUAAUACGUAGGUGGCAAGCGUUAUCCGGAUUUAUUGGGCGUAAAGCGAGCGCAGGCGGUUUUUUAAGUCUGAUGUGAAAGCCCUCGGCUUAACCGAGGAAGUGCAUCGGAAACUGGGAAACUUGAGUGCAGAAGAGGACAGUGGAACUCCAUGUGUAGCGGUGAAAUGCGUAGAUAUAUGGAAGAACACCCAUGGCGAAAGCGGCUGUCUGGUCUGUAACUGACG